GACGAACGCUGGCGGCGUGCUUAACACAUGCAAGUCGAACGGAAAGGCCCUGCUUUUGUGGGGUGCUCGAGUGGCGAACGGGUGAGUAACACGUGAGUAACCUGCCCUUGACUUUGGGAUAACUUCAGGAAACUGGGGCUAAUACCGGAUAGGAGCUCCUGCUGCAUGGUGGGGGUUGGAAAGUUUCGGCGGUUGGGGAUGGACUCGCGGCUUAUCAGCUUGUUGGUGGGGUAGUGGCUUACCAAGGCUUUGACGGGUAGCCGGCCUGAGAGGGUGACCGGCCACAUUGGGACUGAGAUACGGCCCAGACUCCUGCGGGAGGCAGCAGUGGGGAAUAUUGCACAAUGGGCGGAAGCCUGAUGCAGCAACGCCGCGUGCGGGAUGACGGCCUUCGGGUUGUAAACCGCUUUCGCCUGUGACGAAGCGUGAGUGACGGUAAUGGGUAAAGAGGCACCGGCUAACUACGUG
This 468-nucleotide ribosomal RNA is filed under the name uncultured bacterium. RNAcentral's name for it is "partial 16S ribosomal RNA". It matches the Rfam family "Bacterial small subunit ribosomal RNA", at positions 28 to 507 of the family's 1533-position model. The record is from RNAcentral.